AUCCAACUGACGAGUCACACAUAGGGCGAAACACGCAUCCUGGAU
Schistosoma mattheei is the source of this 45-nucleotide non-coding RNA. Lineage: Eukaryota; Metazoa; Platyhelminthes; Trematoda; Strigeidida; Schistosomatidae. The record is from Rfam.